RNAcentral lists this ribosomal RNA (253 nucleotides) under uncultured bacterium. RNAcentral's name for it is "partial 16S ribosomal RNA". It matches the Rfam family "Bacterial small subunit ribosomal RNA", at positions 524 to 776 of the family's 1533-position model. The record is from RNAcentral.
AACGUAGGACACAAGCGUUAUCCGGAGUUACUGGGCGUAAAGGGCGCGCAGGCGGGUGAUUAAGUUCGCUAUGAAAGCUCCUGGCUAAACUGGGAGAGGCUGGCGGAUACUGGUCAUCUAGAGUUAGAGAGAGGCAGACAGAAUUCCGCGUGUAGUGGUGAAAUGCGUAGAGAUGCGGAGGAAUACCAGUGGCGAAGGCGGUCUGCUGGCUCUGGACUGACGCUGAGGCGCGAAAGCAUGGGGAGCGAACGGG